GUACGACCGCUGAGCACAGGCUCAGUGCUGCUUUCUGAUUAAAUUCCAGUUUGGCCCUACUCCUCUGUCAGGCCUCUGCUUCCCCUUUCCUCGUCUGGAAGAGGAGGAGUCAGACAGGCCCGUUUCUAAGACCCCCGGGACAGUCCUGGGGCUCAGUGAGGCCUCGGGGGUCCAGGGAGGUCCUCACGGCCUCGCCACCCAGUGCUGGACACGCUGAGGGUUCGCUGAGGCUCCGCCAGCCCGCAGCCCGGGAUGAGGGGUGGUCGUGCCUCCCCCCGCCACCCCCCCCCACCCCCUGUCUGGGCCGCUCGUCUAAGUGUUUCCCAAAGGCUCGCCUCAUCCAGCUGACCCCACUCGGCCUUGCCUUUGUUACCUUAAAAAGUGCCGGUUUUGAGACACAUUUGCACGUGAGAGGCACUAGCCUCUGGUUUUCUUUCCUCAAAGCUUCGGGCCCCUGAGUGGAGCAAGGGGCCUGUGGUCCAGUUCCGUCCGGGGAGGUGGCUUGCUCCAUCGCCUCCUCUCUCAUUUCCUCUUUGGGGACGGGCAGGACCUGUCUUGUCCUCGCCGCUGCCGCGCAGGGAGCGUGGGACGGGGUGCUCUGGACCGGCUGGGCUCGGGAGUGACCAGCCCGAAUCAGCACCACCUGGAGCCUGAGUCGGCCACAGGCCCUGCAGGCGGGGCUGCGGGUCACGGCCUUGCAAGUGGCACCUGCCGCUUCGCGGGGGGGGAGGGGGGGCACUUUUCUUGUUUUUUCUUAUUUCCAUCUUCCUUUGAGUUUGCUUUCUUUGAGACGUGUCUGUGAAGUGAGCACCGCCAGCACGCAGCGUCCCGGCUCACGCCCGUGCCCAGCCUGACGUAAAGAUCUGAGCCACAGGGGCUUACGGAGGUAUGAGUCAUCUCUCCAGAAGUGAACUUGAGCUCAGUCGUGUUGUCAGAUGACCUUGGCGGGACUGGGCGCGUGGCUGCCUCCUGCAUCGGCUUUGGAAACGACGGGAGGAUGGAGGUGAGGUUCUCCGCACGGCUCGGCUGGAACCUGGGCUGUUUCCUUCCCCAGGGCCGUGGUCCCCGUGGUUUCCCGCUCUGUGACUCCGCCACACUGGGGAUGUGGACACGUCUCGUUAACAAGGACAUGGAGGACGUGGGCAGUGGUUGCCGCAGCCCCGGUCACGACGGCUGCCACGGUAUCACACGCUUCAGGACGGGGUGUGGGACGAGGGAGAUGGAAUCUGUUUCUCUGGAAGCCCGUGUGGUUUAGAGUGAAGACGUUGUUUUCCUGAUUCCCGUCCGUGACAGCCCGUGUCUUGGGGACGGAAGAACAGCCCAGGAGCGUCACCUCCGUGUGUAAAUUGAUGGCGUGACGUUGCUCAAGCCUCCCCUUCCUGGAAGGACCUCUCGAACUGAGAGCAAAAGCCAGCUUUGCAGAUGCGCUGCUCUCCUUUGCCUUCGAGGAGGAGGGAGGCUUGUGCGGACCCUCUGCUGGGGGAGGUCCUGGGCUGAACCCUCAGGAGGGCAGGCCGAGGGCCCGAACUCUGAAAGCAGCCCCUGGGCGCGCCGAGGGUGAGGAGGUCGCGGGACCUACCGCGGGUAGGCCGUGGCCCUGCUCCUCCGCUGGCUGUGCCUGAGCCCCAGGCGAGGCCGUCGCCGUGCCAUGGACUCCUUGCCUGCCUUGGGGAGGACGGCCGGCAGUAGCUGUGUCGGGAGAGACGCGGCCUCGCUGUUCUUGCCGUCUUCCCACUGCUCAGACCCAACCCGGCAAAACCCGUUACGAGGUGGCUUAUUCCCACUUAGGCUUGGGGACGAGACGGAUGACGUCACGUUGCAGAGAGCGAGACAGUGGCUCAUGCUCGGCCAGCAUUUGCUGAGUAAACGGCAGAGGCGGUAAACGUCUGUGCAGCCCAGCGCGUGCUCUGCUCCUGCCCUGGUGGGCUCCGUCUCAACGCUGGCUCGUCCAGGCCUCCCUCAGGAGUGCCUCUGAAGCAGAGACCACCACCUGCCUCUGGACUUGGAGGUGGUGGAGGGAUGGAACGCUGAGCUUCUGGAGACAUUAAAACGUUAUUUCUGGGCCUCCCUGGUGGUGCAGUGGUUGAGGGUCCGCCUGCUGAUGCAGGGGAUGCGGGUUCGUGCCCUAGUCUGGGAAGAUCCCACAUGCCGCGGAGCGGCUGGGCCCGUGAGCCAUGGCCGCUGGGCCUGCGCGUCCGGAGCCUGUGCUCCGCAACGGGAGAGGCCACAACAGUGAGAGGCCCACGUACCAGGAAAAACAAACAAACAAACAAAACAGCAUUAUUUCUGAGCAGCCGUAGAGGUCUCUUGGUGGGGAGCAUUGGUACAGGAAGGAAACCGUGGGCUUGUUAAUGGGCGUUUACCCUCACAUAUCAUUUUAAUUCCGGUCGGCAGUACGCUGCCGACUGGCCUCCUGGCGGGAAGCGGAAGAGGAAGGUCUGCACCGAUCGGUGUCAGCCCCUGAGGAAUAAUGAUUGGGAAGGAAAGAGCUGACACUCAUCUGACUUUCCACUCGAACAGUGUUUUUGUGAAGAUGUGCACUUUAAGGGCUCACUGAUGCACUUGAUAAAGACUUCCUAAGUCUAUGAUUAUUAAUUAAAGCAGUGAAUGGA
Long non-coding RNA from Orcinus orca (killer whale), 2612 nucleotides. RefSeq lists it as uncharacterized. The transcript has 2 exons. The record is from RefSeq and is a predicted model, not a curated record. Lineage: Eukaryota; Metazoa; Chordata; Mammalia; Artiodactyla; Delphinidae.